This 301-nucleotide ribosomal RNA is filed under the name uncultured bacterium. RNAcentral's name for it is "partial 16S ribosomal RNA". It matches the Rfam family "Bacterial small subunit ribosomal RNA", at positions 509 to 809 of the family's 1533-position model. The record is from RNAcentral.
CAGUAGCCGCGGUAAUACGAAGGGUGCAAGCGUUACUCGGAAUUACUGGGCGUAAAGCGUGCGUAGGUGGUGGUUUAAGUCCGUUGUGAAAGCCCUGGGCUCAACCUGGGAAUUGCAGUGGAUACUGGGUCACUAGAGUGUGGUAGAGGAUAGUGGAAUUUCCGGUGUAGCAGUGAAAUGCGUAGAGAUCGGAAGGAACAUCUGUGGCGAAGGCGACUAUCUGGGCCAACACUGACACUGAGGCACGAAAGCGUGGGGAGCAAACAGGAUUAGAUACCCCGGUAGUCCUGUCUCUUAUACA